Molecule: unclassified non-coding RNA, 2137 nt
Filed under: Hevea brasiliensis (rubber tree)
Lineage: Eukaryota; Viridiplantae; Streptophyta; Magnoliopsida; Malpighiales; Euphorbiaceae
Source: RNAcentral
AUCUAAUUAAGGUUUGUAAUUAAACCUAAUAAAUGAACAAAUAUUAAGUUUAUUAAGAUACAUAAUUUAUAUGUGUGCCUUAUGAUAUUUGUUUUAGUUUGUUAGUCACCAAAGUGGCCAAACUAAAAUAAAAUAAAAUUAAUAGUUUGUCAGUCACUAAAGUGGCCGAACUAUGAAUGAUGUUUACAUGCAUAUAAAAAUUAUCAAUUAUCCAUACUAAUAGAUGCCUAUGAUGAAAAGUGGAUUAAUUGAUACUUACUAGUCAUCAGAACUUAAGAUUUUACCCAAAGAUAAAUAAAUUAUUAUAUGAUAGUGAGAAUUAUGAGGACAAUAAUAUUUUAUCAAAUAUAUAUUGGAUGUCAAAAGACAACACUUAUAUUUGAUAUAAGUUAAUUAUUAUCUAAUCAAGUUUAAAGGCAUUUAAUUUAGGAUAGUAUAUUAUAGUAUCUACCUAAAGGAGAACUAUAGUAUAUUCUAAUUGUUAAAGUUACCUGAAUCUAUUUUGAGCAUAUAAAUAUCAUAUUGCAGCUUUUUCUCUUCAUUCGCAAGCUUAAUCUCUUAUUGUUUUAAUGAAUUGAACUUCUUUGAAUGGUGUGAGCAAGUCAAGUUCCAAUUAGUGUCUUGGACCUUAACUUGGCUAAUUCGAUGCUAUUAUGGAUAUAAGUAGUGAGGAAGAGAAGUUAUACCAUAAGCAAUGAGAAUCAUUAAGCAAAUUAAGCCUUAUGUUUUUUUUGUGAAUAACUAUUGCUAACAACAUUAGGACUACAAUUCUAUCGGGUGAAAAUAUAAAAGAAUACCUUAAACUCAUGAAAGAUAUGUUCUAUUUUGAAGUUAAGUUACUCACUGGUACUCUAAUGGCAUAACUCACGACCAUAAAGUAUGAUGGGUCAAAAAGUAUGCAAGAACACAUUAUUGGAACAAGUGAUAUUGCAGCAAAAUUAGAAACUUUAAGAAUGAUAGUUGAUGAUUCUUAAUUCUGUAUGUUUAUGAUAUCUUGUUUGCUGCAAAUGAUUUGUGCAUAUUACGUGAGACUAAAGAUUUUCUCUCAAUGAAUUUUGAAAUGAAAGAUAUGAGAGAGGCAUCCUUUGUUAUUAGAAUAGAAAUAUUCCGUAAUAGAUCAUAAGGACUGUUGGGAUUGUCUCAGAAAGCCUAUAUCGAUAGAAUUCUAGAGAGAUUUAAAAUGCAUAAAUAUUCAGCAGGAAUUAUUCCCAUACAAAAAGGGGACAAAUUCAGUCUCAAUCAAUGUCCAAAGAAUGAUGUGGAACGUAAAGAAAUGGAAUCAAUUCCUUAUGCUUCAAUUGUGGACAAUUUGAUGUAUGUUUAAACCUGUACAAUUCUUUAUACUGGAAUUGAUAACUAGAAAGCUGCAAAGAAAGUUUUAUAGUACCUGCAAUAAACUAAAGAUUUCAUGCUCACUUACAGGAUAUCUAAUUAUUUAGAAGUAAUUGGAUAUUUAGAUUCAGAUUUAGCUGGAUGUGUUGACAAUAAAAGUUUAUUUCAGCUACUUGUUCUUAUCAGUUGAAGGAACAAUAUUAUGAAAAAAUGCCGAAAAAUAGUUUGUCAUUAUUUCAUCCAUUAUGAAAGCAAAAUUUAUGGCAUGUUUUCAAGUUAUAAUUCAUGCAUUAUGGAUGCGGAACUUUAUCUCAGGACUUGGGGUAGUCGACACCAUUAGCAAGCCGCUGAGAAUUUAUUGUGAUAAUUCCGCAGCAGUAUUUUCUCCAAGAACGACAAAUAUUUGAAGGGUGCCAAACAUAUAAAAUUAAAGUAUUUUGCCGUUAAGAAGGAAGUUCAGAAAAGAAGAGUGUUUAUUGAGCACAUUAAUAUUGAUCUCAUGAUUGCAGAUCCAUUGACUAAAGGCUUACAACCUAAGACAUUUAAAGAACAUGUGCUUAGAAUAGGUCUUGGUUGUAUUAAUUAAUGAUGUAUUGGUUUUGACACUCUGAGCUCAUUGAUGUGUUUCUGAUAUACAUUAAAGUAUUUCCUAUUUCUCAUAAUUGUGUGCACAUAAUAUUUUGAGUGAAUGAUAAUAGGAAAAGUCUUUUGAGACAUUAUUGUGGACUAUGAUGUGAUAAACAUAUAUCCAUUAUGUACCUACUAUGGUAAGUUGCUAGUAUUGUGGUAUAUGAAAGGAAGUAUG